This 6762-nucleotide long non-coding RNA is filed under the name Malus domestica (apple). RNAcentral describes it as "long non-coding RNA (MDOM_LNC003490)". Lineage: Eukaryota; Viridiplantae; Streptophyta; Magnoliopsida; Rosales; Rosaceae. The record is from RNAcentral.
AACACAUUAUUGACCCACACGAUCGGUCUAAAAAUAUAAUUUAACAAUCAUUAGAUGAUUCACUUUUGUACAUUCAAGAAAAACAUCAGAUAAAAAGCGGUUCAAGUAGAACUAGGUUCAUUGUUUCAUCCUUAAGUUUGUCAUGUCCUGGCCAAAGUCCAGCAAAGCAUCAGAUGUUAUGGCCAAUGGGUUUUGUUCAUGGUUUUUUCUCCUUUUUCGUUUUCAGCUGCGACUUUGAUCUUUAAGGACGGUGAAACUUACCCCCAAAAGAGUUGAAAUGAUAAGAAUAAUUCCUGUGAUCCAAGCAAGUGUACGCCUAACCAAUAACACUUGCACAAUUUUUGUAUUAUUCAGGCCUUCUUUUUCAGCCAACAAACGAGCAUAUGAUCGACUAGUAUACAUCACAUUCAACAUCUUUCCCGACUCCACAGGUGCAACUCCAUUGAAAAGGAUAGCUCCAACAAUUUGACCUGCAAAAUUGUUAAUUUAACAUUAUUUCUAAAGAUGAUGACGAAAAAUUUCAAAUGAACUAUUGAAUGAAGAAAAUAUAUAUUCAUAAAAGUACCAAAUAUAUGGCAGAUAUACACAUAAAAUUGGCAACAAUGUUUCUAGAAAGAACAAUUGCUUUAAAAGAACGAGAAUUAACUAAUAAAGUUUAAAAUCAAAAUGAUUACCUUUGUAGGCAUUUUCAAGUGAAUCAAAUAUCUUGGACAGUGUAGCAAGUAGUAGCUCCACUCCAUGUUGAGCUGCUCCAUCAGUUCCAUACUGCUCUUGCAAAACCUAUCAUAAGGUUUUGAAGUUUUUUUAUUAAGCUAUGGAACUCGAUGCAGACACACAAUAAGAAUAAACAAAAGAACACAGAGUCAAGAAAGUGCAUGCAUAUGAUUUGACUGCGUGUGCACAAUUAAUAUAUGCACAUAUAUCAAAUAUAUGAAAUUUAUGGAAUGCAGCUUGGAUACUAUAUUUUGAUAUACUCUUUUCUUCUUAAGGAGAAAAAAAAAUAUUUUAUUGAAUAUGUAUCAACUAAUCAAAGUGAAGAAGCAGCCUACAAAGCAAACAAACAGACCUCUAACCAGUAAAUUGCUAUAUAUGAAAAACAUAAAAUGCCCAAAAGUAUCUUUAAUUAGAAGCACAAAACAUCCCACAAGCUAACCAAAAAUGAACUUUAACACUGUGGCCUUCCAAUCCACAUGAACAAUAGAAUAGUAUAUCCCAAAUCCAGAGGGAGUCAAAGCACACAAUGAUGUCCAAAAGAAAAUUCCACCCUACAUACCUGCACUGGUAUAUAUUUAGAUCUUGUUUAUCCUUGUUCCUAACCACAAUUUUCUUUUCUCACUUUUAAACAAGUAGCUGGAUCCAUAAUCCAUAAUCACUUUUAAACGAGUAAUUAAUCUGUAAACUGAAAUUACAGUAUUACUAUUACACCAAUACUCCUCACUAUUUUACACCUAAAUUAAAGGACCUACUUGUUUCGGUAAAGACAUUGCACAUAAAAUUGACCAUUACACGAUGAAAUAGGUAUGUUGUAUUUUUGUGUUCGUAGUGAUGAUAGGGAGCUGGAUGUUAUGGAUACAUUCUACCUCUAGUGAACUACUGGUCCACUGCAAGCAUGUUUUGUUUCUUAUUAACAAGAACAAAACAAAAAAGAGCAUAAAAGCAAACAACCACACUUCAAAAUAUGUUCUUUAUUACUUGGACUCAACCCAUGUUUGAGCAGUGGGUUGAUGGUGAUAACCAUACCCCAAAAAGAGAAGUACCCCACAAGCAAAAAGAUCUCUAAACUAUAUUAUGCAUACAAGAAUGUGGAUAGUCUAAGAUUUCCAGAAUCCAUAAAUUUUCAGUACCGUGGAGUUCCACAAAUGAAGUACAAAAAACCUUCGAAGGAUACUCUUAACAGAAGAGUACAUUAUCACUUAUAUUAACCAAUGUUUUAAAAGGCUCGCCUUAGAGGCCACCAAGAGGGUUGCUGCCUUUGUUUUGAGGGAGUGGGCGGAAGACAUUGCCAGAGCCGCCUAGGCAGCGGAGGCGCGCCUCAGGCCGUCCAGGCAUCUCUGUUUGGCUGUUUUUUUAUUUAUUUUUUUAUUUUAACUCCCAAACCCAAAUUUUGGGUAGGGUUUUAACUGUCUCAUACCUCUUCCUUGCAUUAUCGUCUCUCUGCCUUUUUUUAUGAUUUUUAUUUUUUUAUAUAAUGGAUGUGUGUGUGCUGUCUGCGUGCAUUGUUAUAUGUCUGCUCAUUGUGCUUUUCAUCCUCAAUUAUAUAUAUAUAUAUAUAUAUAAUAUAAUAUAAUAUAUGUAUAUAUAGGUCGUACCCAGUGCACAAGGCUCCCGCUUUACGCAGGAUCUGGGAGAGGUGAAUGUCGGCUAGCCUUACCCUCAUUUAUGGAGAGGUUGCUCCCAAUAUGUAUAUAUAUUUAUAAUACAUGUGUGUGCUCAAGAUGAUUAUUGAUUAAUAAUCUUUUUUUUUAAUAUAAUAUGUGUACGCUCAGUGUAUAUAUUAAAACAUUUAGGUCCGUGAGGCUUCGCCUCACGCCUAGGUCGGGCUAUCCCUCUGACUCCUCACCCACGCCUCACGCUUUUAAUAAAUUGAUAUUAACUGAGAAACUGUGGCUUGCCUGUCACAAUAGCAAAAAAACAUAUUCCCCCCCCCCCCCCCCCCCACCAAAAAAAAAAAAAAAAAAACAACCCCCUACAUAUACGUAUGUACACACAGCAAAAAUACUUUUUGUUGGUUACUACUUUGCCACAAGCAUAUUUGCUGACAUCCAUUUUAAACUUUAAAGUCAACCAAAAAAGGAAGAAAACAACACCUUGAUUCCAUCAAAACGGCCUGUUAAUAACUCAGCUGGGCUAUGGAUGUUGUGUGACAAAUCUUGAUGCAUUUCUGUUGCCCUUUUAAAGUUGCGGAUGAGAGACAGAAGGCUAGUUGUGAAUAUCCUAUCUGAUUCCUGUAAACGUAUACGAUGCAGGCCUUCCAAUAUAAACCACCAUUUUACAACAUGUAUACAAUGCAUAUCAAACAAAAUGAACAUGUUAUAGUCAAUCUCAGAAAACCUUUGACAUAUGAAGCUUCAAGUUGUCGCCAUUGGCCAAAGGGAUGCUCAACUCUCCAUUUAGUGGUUCUAAUGUAUCAACAACAUAUGAACCACUCAUCCAAGCUGCCUAAAGAAGACAAAAAUCUUAACAUUAAAAUUAAAGCAAAAACUCAAGUUCAUUUUCAUGUAUACAAGAAUAAAAAAAAAGCAUGGCAUGUCGAAUAAAUGAACAUAAAAAACAAAACAUGAUAUAGAAUAUCUUCAAGCCAGACUCACAAAAUCUCCAAUCUCCUUGUCAGUAUAAUCUGUCGAUUGUUCAUCCAAAGAAAACACAGAAACUUCACCUUCAUCUGCAACAACACAUAUAAUGAACAAAAUUUUACAUAAUUCUGAAUGAGGAAUAGACUAAUAGUAAUGUCCUUGCACUAGUUUCACAAGUUACUCGUUUUGAAAGGUCAUAUACCUGGAAGCUCGAUGUCAGCUUUGCUUGAGCCAAGGUCAAUCUUGGAACUGUAGGCACUGCUGAACAUGGCAUUGUCUUUGACUACAAGAGCAUGAUCUGCAUGUAUUUUGACAUACAUGUUUAUAAUAAGUGCACAAAGUAAUAUAAUAAUGGUAAAAGUGUCAUAAGUUAGCAUGCAUUUUACUAUUUUAGAGACAAUGUUAUAUACCAUCAAUUCCUCCAACUUCAAGCGCAACAACAGCACGAGGCCUAUUGAAUGGAUUAGGCACGAGAACCUCAUUCAACUACCACAAAGCAACAACAAAAUAUGAUAAAUUAGACCUUGGGUUAACACGAUGGGGGUAACUAGAGAAAAUAACUUCACAUUACUUAUUAUCCACAACACCUUAGCUGAACCAACAGCUGAGAGGGCGGAAGAUGGUGCAAAUCCAAGCAAAACUGACACGGCUGCACUGACUUCUGAGAGCAACAUUGAGUCGGGCUGCGAAAGCAAAAGGCAAGUAGUAUUAGCAGAUAAACGAAGAAAAAUCUGCAGUAUUCAAUAUCUAGAUAAAACAACUGAAAAAAAUACCCCUUGCAGUACCAAAAUCAAAUAUAACAAAAUGAGGUAUGCUUAAAAUUCCGCCAAAAAAAUCCCAGGAAUCCCUUUUGGGGGAAACAAGAAAUAUAUUGGCACGAUCAAAUUUCUAACAAUUUCAAGUUCAAUUAGACUGAAUUUAAUAUGUGAAGUUGUGAACUUUAAAUAAUUAAACUGAAUUGGGGAAUUCUGAAUCAACAAGCAAUUGCGGGAAUUACCUUGACGACAUCGUUUGACGAAGGGUUACGAAGAAAAUGAUGAGUGGAGCUAUCGAUGAAGAAGACAGAGGCAGUACCAUCAGCCUGAUUCAAAAACGAACAAAACAGUAAUCAGAUCGGAGACCUAUCAUUAUCACAUCGAUAUAUAUAUACGCACACAGAUACAUAUAUAUAUAUAUAUAUAUAUAUAGAGAGAGAGAGAGAGAGAGAGAGAGAGAGAGGCGAACCUUAGCGUUGGAGGAGAUAAACGAAGCAAUGGUGAGUAUGUAGAAGCAGAUGGUGCGUGUGAGUAAAGCCAUGGGAGAGAGAGGAUCUGAUCUGUGGCUCUGCUACUUGGAAUGAGGAAGGAGGGGCGAACUGACUUGUCCUUUUGAUUUCAAGAAAGAAGCCGCGAGCGACGUCGUAUCAGUUUAUAUUCUGUUUUCUUUUUUUUUCUUUUUCUUUUUUUUUUUGUCAGAUAGUUUGGAGCUAAAACCUAAUCAUGAGGAGUAUUUAUGUGAGCAAAUGCUAGUCUAUGACUAUAAACUUACUAUUCACGAAGAGCGAGGAAGAGUUUCUCUUCAAGUUAUCAAUGAAUCAUGAAUUUUGUUUUAAUGGUCGUAAUUGUUCAUAUUCUUACUCACGCACUGUGUAAAAAUUAUUUAUGCAAAAAAUCAAUAUUUAUAAGAUCAUCUUCGAACUAUAUAAAAAACAUAUGGAUGAAGGAAUCCAGUAAAAGAAUUUAUAAACCGUUUAUCUAUUUGCUACAGUUAAUUUAUUAAACGAUCUUAUUUUAAUUGAAUUUUUGUAAAGAUGAUUUUUACAAAAUGAUUUAUAAUAUGAACUAUUCUGAUUAUAAAUAGAAUGUUUCGUGAAUUGGUAUAAAGUAUCUUAAAAGAGUCAAGCCUUUCUCUUUCAAAAAUAUCAUUAUGUCCUUUUUUCUUUUCUUUUUUAAGUUACGCCCUUAUGAUGAAUAUUGAAUGAAAACACUACGACUUACGGGCAUAAGCUUUGUUUGACACCAACGUGAACAAAUAAUCAAAAUUUCAUAGGGGAAAACGGCAAUGCUACGAGUAUCACGCAAAUCAAUAUUACAAGUGUUAAAAGUGGGAAGGCGUACCCUGAAAUGGAGAGAGGAUCCUAAGAUCCUCCAAUCAUAUCCGUUCAUCAUACAUCGCGUGGGUCAAUUUUAUCAGAUAUUGUUUAUAUUCAAUUUUAAAUGAAAAAAUUUACAAUAAUUUCCGACCAUAAUGUAUGAUGAAUGGAUGUCAUUAAAAGAUCGUCCUGAAAUGCAAGGCAAUAGUCGAAGGACUGGACGAUGAUGAAGAAAAGAUUGAAUUAUUUGCUUUAUUCAAAACUUAAAAGAUGGAAUUUAAUACACCAAAUACAUAUAUCAUAAAGAAUCUCCUCUGUAACUCUAAUCCACAUAAUAAUUGACUUAACAAACCAUGAAUCUUCUUACUUAUACACCUAGCGCCUAAACCAUGCUUUACAUUACCCUGUAUCGAACAAUCAACUUUUCCAUAAAGGUAAAUACCCAAUUCAUGUCAACCGUGCGUGACUGAGUGAGCGUCUGAUGGGCUCGAAAAACCUGAACCAUGUUCAAUAUCAUCGAUCAACAGAAUCCCAAUAAUAUUAAUCAAGGAUUCAUACAAGAAUGCAAUUACGUAAAACACAUCAGAAAAGGUUUAGCGGCAACCUGUGCCUGAAACAUUGACCAAGUAGCUGCCUGCCAUGCUCAGUCCAGCUUGACGUUAGAGUAGAGUAACGUAUCCCUCGUGACUGGCAUAUUCAGAAGGAAGCAUACCUACAUAAAGAACAGACACAAAACAGGUAAACAUCCUUCUAAUCACAAAACAGGUAAACACUUCAUUGACCCACAUGAUCAGUCAAAAAAAUAUAUUUAACAAUCGUUAGAUGAUUCACUUUUGUACAUCCAAGAAAAACAUCCGAUAAAAAGUGGUUCAAGUAGAAUUAGUUUCAUUGUUUCAUCCUUAAGUUUGUAAUGUCCCGUCCAAAGUCAAGCAAAGCAUCAGACAAAAAGUGGUUCAGGGCCGAUGGGUUUUGUUCAUGGUUUAUUCUCCUUUUUCGUUUUCAGCUGCGACUAUGAUCUUUAACGACAAGUGAAACAUACCCCCAAAAGAGUUGAAAUGAUAAGAAUAAUUCCUGUGAUCCAAGCAAGUGUACGCCUAACCAAUAACACUUGCACAAUUUUUGUGUUAUUCAGGCCUUCUUUUUCAGCCAACAAACGAGCAGAUGAUCGACAAGUAUACAUCACAUUCAACAUCUUUCCCGACUCCACAGGUGCAACUCCAUUGAAGAGGAUAGCUCCAACAAUUUGACCUGCAAAAUUGUUAAUUUAACAUUAUUUCUGAAGACGACGACGAUGAAAAAUUUCAAAUGAACUAUUGAAUGAAGAAAAUAUAUAUUCAUAAAAGUACCAAAUAUAUGGCAGAUAUACACAUAAAAUUGGCAACGAUCAUUCUCAAAACA